CCUACGGGAGGCUGCAGUCGAGAAUCAUGCACAAUGGGGGAAACCCUGAUGGAGCGACGCCGCGUGGGGGAAUGAAGGUCUGCGGAUUGUAAACCCCUGUCAUGUGGGAGCAAAUUAAAAAGAUAGUACCACAAGAGGAAGAGCCGGCAAAAUCUGGGCCAGCAACCGCGGUAAUACAGAGGUCUCAAGCUUUGUUCGGAAUCACUGGGCGUGAAGCGUGCGUAGGCGGUUUCGUAAGUCGUGUGUGAAAGGCGCGGGCUCAACCCGCGGACGGCACAUGAUACUGCGAGACUAGAGUAAUGGAGGGGGAACCGGAAUUCUCGGUGUAGCAGUGAAAUGCUUAGAUAUCGAGAGGAACACUCGUGGCGAAGGCGGGUGCCUGGACAUUAACUGACGCUGAGGCACGAAGGCCAGGGGAGCGAAAAGGAUUAGAUACCCGAGUAGUC
This 446-nucleotide ribosomal RNA is filed under the name uncultured bacterium. RNAcentral's name for it is "partial 16S ribosomal RNA". It matches the Rfam family "Bacterial small subunit ribosomal RNA", at positions 338 to 795 of the family's 1533-position model. The record is from RNAcentral.